AGUGAGCAGGGAGCAGAUUUGCAUGAAGGGGCCGUUCUCCAGCGCUGGGGGUUUAAGAGAGAAUCGGAGGGUCCCAGCCACAGACCCGUUUGCCUCAGGAAGCCGAGCGCAUCUGGAUUCCCACCAUGGCCUGGGCCCCUCUGCUCCUCACGCUGCUCACUUACUGCUCAGGUUCUCUUGCCCAGUACGUGCUGACCCAGCCGCCUGCAGUGUCUGUGUCUCCAGGGCAAAGUGCUCAACUCACCUGCACAGGAGAAAAUGGGACCAGAAUCAGUGGCUAUGGUGUGUUCUGGUACCAGCAGAAACCUGGGAAUUCUCCACAAUACCUGCUGUAUUACUAUUCAGAGUCCGACAAGGGCCAGGGCUCUGGGGUCCCUGCUCACUUCUCCGGUUCCAAAGACACAUCCAGUAACAUCGGCUUUCUGACCAUCUCCGGGACCCUGGUGGAGGAUGAGGCUAAUUAUUACUGUGCUGUGUGGCACAGCAGUGUCAAGAGUUCCAAACAGAAGCAGUGGAACUUCCGAGAGGCCGACUGGGUAAAACACCGGGAAGCGCUGGAGAAGGGUGUGGUGACAACACCAGCCCGGCAUCUCCCGGUAAAUGAGACCUACUGUCGCUUCUGUGGUGCUAUCUAA
Molecule: non-coding RNA, 635 nt
Organism: Trachemys scripta elegans
Lineage: Eukaryota; Metazoa; Chordata; Testudines; Emydidae
Source: the annotation of a RefSeq genome assembly